AGGAGUUUGAUCCUGGCCCAGAACGAACGCCAGCCAUCCGCUCAACACACGCAAGUCGGACGUGGCACGGUUGGUGGGGGUCCCGAAACCGCCCGGGCGUCACUGGUUGGAUCAUUGAUGGGGGGGGCAUGCACGUGCGUGGACCCACUGGCCCCGCGGAGGCGCACACGCUAGGGGUGGGGUGCCUCGUGGCAAACGGGUGCAUAUGGCGUGGGUAUCUGCCUCGCAGCGUGGGCCCAUUGCACCGAUGGUGAAAGCCAAGAAGGCGUUGCCCGAGAGGAGCCCGCGUCGUACCAGGCGGCCGGUGAGUUCGGUAAAGGCCCACCGAGCCGAUGAUGCGUGGCUGGUCUCUUCGGGGAUGAUCAGCCACACCGGGACCGAGAGACGGCCCGGGCUGAUUCCGAGGCAGCAGCGGGGGAUAUCGGGCACCGGGCCCGCGCCCGACCCAGCAAUGUCGCGUGAGUGAUGACGGGCAUGGCUUGUAAAGCCCCAUACUCGGCCGAGUAUCCCGCACCGGCCGAGCAAGCCCCGGCCAACCCCGUGCCAGCAGCCGCGGUAAGACGGGGGGGGCGAGUGUUAUUCGGAGUGAGCAGGCGUGAAGGGCACGCGGGCGGUGAUCAUUGGUCUACCGGGUGGGGACUGAAACCCGCCCCCGACGAGCGGCAUGGUCUCCAAAGCCCAGUCGCUGGAGUCCGAGAGAGGAGAGUGGAAUGCCGUGUGGAGCGACCAUAUACAGAGAGAUGCGGGGGAACGCCACUCGCGAAGGCUGCUCUCUCUCCCGGGACUGACGCUGAGGUGCGAAAGCGUGGGGAGCCAACAGGAUUAGACGGAUCCGGCCGGGUGCUCCAGAACCGGGCAUCUCCCGGCCGGGGUGUCCGAUGCGACCAUGGUCACAGACGAUGGGGUCCUCCCGGCUAUACCGGGGAGAGGCGCCCGCCACCACGGAGAGGAUGGGUCGACCGCGAGGGCGUGCGCGGACCGGGUGCGACGGGCCGGAGGGAGAGGUCGAUCGGCCGCCCCCGGAGACUCUUCCGGCCGGGGAUAAACCCACGACGCACGGUCCUCCACCCCGUAGAGACUAUGCACGUGGGGGAGAAGGCAGCAGCGGCACGACGGGCGGUGGGUUUUCCUCUCGUUUCGGCUCCUCCCCUUAGGAGGGUCAAUCCGGGGCCGUGUGCGAUGAUCCGCCGGGUCGAGUCGAUCGUCCGUAUCCACUGUCCCUAAGAUGAGCACCCCCUUGGCCGUGUGACCCGAGACAGAGAGGCAUGGGCGGAAACCAGAGCAGACUGCGGGGUCUUCCCCCAUGAUGACCAUCGACCGACGCAACUACGGUCGGGAGCAGACGAGGGCGGGACGGGGGUAUGGGGCGGAGUGCGGGAGCCGGCAGGGGCUGGUGCUGUGAUGGAGUGCGGGGUUGGCGUCGGGGAGGUAAGGGGGGGGCGGCUUUGCCUCCGCGGGAAGGCCAGAAGCGCGGUAUCGGAUACGGGUUUCUGGGCAGGACGACUGGGGCAGCCAAGCCCGUCGCGCCGGUCAUGGGCAUCUCCCGGGCAUCCUCUCCCGACCACCCAUCGAGGGGGGUGUUGGUCUCUGAGCCCGGCUCCACGGCACCCUGCUAAGGGUGGAGCAGCAGAGCGGAGCAGAGCGGAGCGGAGCAGAGCAGGGGAUCGACCCGGCGGGCGAGCCAGCCGUGCACGUACGGGGGACCGCCUCUCCACGAACCAACCCACGCCCCCGCUCGGCGGUUUCGGCGGGCACGAUCAACGACAGGGGCCGGCCCGGUUUUGUGCCGGUUCGGGCCGGGCGGGCCCGCCUGAGUAGUCGGUGGGUGGUCCGCCCAUGCCCCCCGGCAAUCGAUAUCGGGAUCGUCGUGCCCGGGCCGAGCGGCUGGAGUUGGUAUGGGGGGGCCCGAAGAGAAGACCGGCUUGUUCGAUCGGCCGAAGAAGGGGCGGGCUUUCCGGGGCAUGGGCGCGACAACGGGGAAGAAGGAAGAGACCGCCCCCGAAGAGGCCCGUCGACCCACACUGCGGCUCGCUGUGCUGGCUGCACCCCAGCCAAAGCAGAGAACACCGCGAAAACCAUGCCCGAUGGGGCAUGGCUCUCUGGCCGGGGUAUGCCACCGACGGGGGGGCGAUCGGUUGUUCCGGCGCACCCGCGGAGCGGGCAGUCCUCCCCUCCGGAUAGGGAGGUCGAGACACGGGCGACGGGCGUCAUGAUCGUGUCACGAGCGCAGAGGCCAUCAUCCCCAGCGCCUGGCCCGCCUUCCGACCACUCCCGAUCGUGCGUUGGGCUGGAGUGGGGCUUGUAGCUCCCCACGGUGGGCUUUUCCUCUGUUCUGGCAUGCUGGGGCGGCUCUCUUCGGUGGUGUGUCAGUGUGCUUUCGGGGUGCUGCCCCUGACACCUCUUCUUUUCGCCUAUCCCCCGUUCGGGGGUGGUCGAGAGGAAGGAGGUCCUGCGAUUGGUUCCACUUGCUGCAGAACAGCUCCCCCCCCGAUGCACGGACCCGGAUCUCCCCGCCGCAGAGGCACGCAGUGGUUUGUGGCGGGCGGGGAAUGAGAGAGCCCAUGCUGUAUCGGAGUGGGACCCGGCGAACAACCCCGCGCCCUGUUACGGGCGGGAUGAAUCACAGACGACCCUGUACCGGAUAGAGCCGGUGCUGCCGUUCGGGCAUAUCAGUGUGACCCUGGUAGUCCACGCCGUCAACGAUGAGGGUUUUCGCCCGUGGUCGAGGUUGUUCUUCGACACCCCGGGCGUCCGAUCGGGGGCCUAGCUAACGCGUCAAGCACUCCGCCUGGGGAGUACCAUCGCAAGAUGGAAACUCAAAGGAAUUGACGGGGGCCUGCGCAAACGGUUGGAGCAUGUGGUUUAAUUCGAUACUACGCGCAGAACCUUACCGCCCCUUGACAUGCUGCCCACGGCCGGCUGCGCAGUGGGCCCGGGGUGCACUGGUGCUGCAUGCCUGUCGUCAGCUCGUGUCGUGAGAUGGGUAAAGCCCGGGAACGAGCGCAACCCCCACCCGGUAACCCCGCCCGGUGAACCCGAUGCCUCCGGGACGCGCCGACAAUGACGCCUCGGGUGCUGCCCGGUCGGGGGUUUUUCGGGGCACCUGAAACCCCAUGAUCCGCGCCCUCUCCUCACGUGCGUCUGGCCCACCCCCUUCCAUGGGCCCGGGUGCGCCCUCCGCGGCCCUCCGGGUACUUACCGGGGACGGCCAUCGAGAGCGUGGGGGAGGGAGAGGGGAUCACGUCAAGUCCGCAUGGCCCCCAUGGGUGUGGGCUACACACGUGCUGCAACGGCGUCCACAGUGGGGAGCCCGCCCGCUCUGGGGUAGCUGAUCCGCACCAAAGGUAGCCAAAUCGUUCGGAUGGUCACCCGCAGCUCGGUCACCUGCAGAGGGAAUCGCCAGUAAUCGCGGAUCACGAUAAUCGCGGUGAAUCCGUACUCGGGCCCUGUACACACCGCCCGUCACACCCUGGAAGGCGAACCCCCCCUACUCUCCGCAUCGCUCUCCCCCGCCCUCCAGUCGCCCAUGCGGUUGCGGUCCAUGUGCGGGGGGGGGACGGUCGAGGAUCACGGUGGGUCGACUGACUGUGGUGAAGUCGUAACAAGGUAGCCGUAGGGGAACCUGCGGCCGGAUUGAAUCC
Molecule: ribosomal RNA, 3641 nt
Filed under: Selaginella moellendorffii
Lineage: Eukaryota; Viridiplantae; Streptophyta; Lycopodiopsida; Selaginellales; Selaginellaceae
Description: 18S ribosomal RNA
Rfam family: Bacterial small subunit ribosomal RNA (bases 2790-3631)
Source: RNAcentral